UUCCUUUCCCCCAAAACCAGUGAGAUUUAAAAUACACAUAAUAUACAUAAAAAAAGGGAGGGAUGGGCAUAUCACAACAAGUCUCCUGCAAUGCGGUUAACAACAAGCAGUCGCACAGUGGAACUUUCAAGCCAGCAUUGACAAGACACUUUGCAAUUCAUGUCCGUUUCUUCCAGAUUCAGAGGUAGCUGCUCUGCGCUGUGGCUUCACAAAGGCUGCCACAUUCAGGAUUUUCAAUUGCACUUGUCAGAUAAGGCACACCUCAAGUGACAUCUAAAAACAAUUCCAUUUCUCUACCCGCCACAAAUGAGUCAGUUAAAAGCGGUAAGACAAAAAAAGAUAGCUGCACAAACAUGAGACUGCACCAAACAUUCUUGUCGGCAUGAUGUUUGUCAGCAAAAGGCUUUCAAAGCUGCACUGCAUGCCUUGUGACAAGAAUGGGCAGUCU
This is a long non-coding RNA of Rhipicephalus sanguineus (brown dog tick), 448 nucleotides long. RefSeq lists it as uncharacterized. Lineage: Eukaryota; Metazoa; Arthropoda; Arachnida; Ixodida; Ixodidae. The record is from RefSeq and is a predicted model, not a curated record. The transcript has 2 exons.